Molecule: ribosomal RNA, 465 nt
Filed under: uncultured bacterium
Lineage: Bacteria
Description: partial 16S ribosomal RNA
Rfam family: Bacterial small subunit ribosomal RNA
Source: RNAcentral
CUACGGGAGGCAGCAGUGGGGAAUAUUGGACAAUGGGGGCAACCCUGAUCCAGCAAUGCCGCGUGUGUGAAGAAGGCCUGCGGGUUGUAAAGCACUUUCAAUAGGGAGGAAAAGCUUUGGGUUAAUACCCCGAAGUCUUGACGUUACCUUUAGAAGAAGCACCGGCUAACUCUGGUGCCAGCAGCCGCGGUAAUACAGAGGGUGCGAGCGUUAAUCGGAAUUACUGGGCGUAAAGCGCGCGUAGGCGGUUUGAUAAGUCAGAUGUGAAAGCCCCGGGCUUAACCUGGGAACUGCAUUUGAUACUGUCAAACUAGAGUAUGGUAGAGGGUAGUAGAAUUCCUGGUGUAGCGGUGAAAUGCGUAGAUAUCAGGAGGAAUACCAGUGGCGAAGGCGGCUACCUGGACCAAUACUGACGCUGAGGUGCGAAAGCGUGGGGAGCAAACAGGAUUAGAUACCCCGGUAGUC